This 301-nucleotide ribosomal RNA is filed under the name uncultured bacterium. RNAcentral describes it as "partial 16S ribosomal RNA". It matches the Rfam family "Bacterial small subunit ribosomal RNA", at positions 509 to 808 of the family's 1533-position model. The record is from RNAcentral.
CAGCAGCCGCGGGAUACGGAGGGGGCUAGCGUUGUUCGGAAUUACUGGGCGUAAAGCGCACGUAGGCGGCUUGGUAAGUUAGAGGUGAAAGCCUGGAGCUCAACUCCAGAAUUGCCUUUAAGACUGCCGAGCUAGCAGGUGAGAGAGGUAAGUGGAAUUCCGAGUGUAGAGGUGAAAUUCGUAGAUAUUCGGAAGAACACCAGUGGCGAAGGCGGCUUACUGGCUCAUACUGGACGCUGAGGUGCGAAAGCGUGGGGAGCAAACAGGAUUAGAUACUCCUGUAGUCCCUGUCUCUUAUACA